RNAcentral lists this unclassified non-coding RNA (1372 nucleotides) under Hevea brasiliensis (rubber tree). The record is from RNAcentral. Lineage: Eukaryota; Viridiplantae; Streptophyta; Magnoliopsida; Malpighiales; Euphorbiaceae.
CUUGUUACUUCUGUAAGAUUUUAAAAUCUAAAUAGUAAUUUUACCUAAGGCUAAUAAUAUAAUUUACCAUUCAAAAUUUUGGCUCAUGCGCUUUUGGUACAUAUACAAUUUGGGGCAGAUUGACCCAUUUUGCUAAUUUAGGGUAACAUUUUGGGUUUGAUUGCACUUUGCUACCAAGAUAAGGGGAGCAAAGUGACCUUUUAUCCAAAAAAUUGUUGGUCCAGGUUAGAAUGGUCCGUAAACAUUAUCAAGCAUGGUCCGUAAACAUUAUCAAGCAACGUAAUUUAAUGAGUGGCUUGGGCUUCCAACAUUUUGAUCCUGUGCAAGGAAACCCCCGGACAAUCAACCAUCUGGCAACACUUGUUUGUAUGUAAAAUUUCUUCAAAUGUUUAUGAAUCUGAUUGUCCAGCUUUGAAUACGUCAAAAAGUUCUUGAUAAUCACUAUGUUCCUUUAGCUUAGGUGUUUUGAUAAAUUGAACAAAAGGUCAAUUAAAUACAAAGGUUGGAUCAGUUAGACUUUGAAAUUGGCAAAUUGAGCCAUUUUGCCCCAGUUUUUCAGCAUGUGCGAUACACACACCAUAGGAAGGACUAACAUGACAUUUUGACAUUUUUACAAUUUGAACAUUUUAAAAUUUGCUCUAGUCUUUCCUCCUUACUGCCUCCAUCUAUUUGCUUUCCCUUCCAAAAAAACCACAACGGUAGAAAAUAAAAUUUAAUUGAAAAUUAAAAUAUUUUUGUCUCUCACAAACUCACCUCAAAAUUAAAAAUCAUAAUCAACAAAUCUAACAGGUAUUCACCAAUCCCAACAACAAAAAUAUUUUAUUUAAAAAAAUGUUUAAAAAUAUAAGCAUUUACUUAUUAAAUACUAAUUUAUCUAAGGGUUAUAAUUUUGGCCCUCACAGGCUCACUAUACAUUUUGGAGUAAAUUGGCUCAAUUUGUCAAUUUUAUGGUCUACUUGAUCUAACUUUUACACUUUGUGUUUAAUUGAACCUUACUGGCAAUAUGAGGUGACAAACUAAACCUUAUUCCUUUAUCAAUUAAUGCAGAACUACUAUCCUCAGAACUAAAGCAAUGCUUGUUAUGAAUGCUUGUACAAAGUGAUUGCUUGUGAAAUAUUAUAUUUGGUGCUUCUCUCUCCGCACGCACAAUGUACCCUUAAGGUCCUCAUAAUUAAUCGCCUAUCACUUUGAUGUAAUUUUUGAACAUAUAACCUUUAUUUAUUAUUAUUAUUAUUUCAAAGUAUAACCUUUGGCUUUCCACACACACUACCGUUUAUGUUUUCUGAAAAAUAAUACAAUUUUUCUAGGUAGUCUUUACAUAUUAACAUUUGGUUAUAUGAUGAUGUCUAGGCACCAUACCAGAGAAAGUUAA